This 574-nucleotide long non-coding RNA is filed under the name Micromonas commoda. RNAcentral's name for it is "long non-coding RNA (MCOM_LNC000263)". Lineage: Eukaryota; Viridiplantae; Chlorophyta; Mamiellophyceae; Mamiellales; Mamiellaceae. The record is from RNAcentral.
GGAACGAAAGCGACGCCGUCACCAACCUUCGGGUUCAGGCCGAGCACCUCCAGGCUGUCCCGCGCGGUGACCAUCAUGGCGACGUCCUCGUCAUCCGCGGAGGGAGGAUCCGCGCGCGAGGACGGCGAGGCUCGCGGCGGGCCGUCGAGCGUGCCGAGCCCGAGCCCGGGCCCGGGCCCGGGCCCGGAGCCGAAUGUACCCGCCGCCCCGGGGUCGUACCCUUCGAUCUCCUCGUCGUCCACCUCCUCGACGCGAAUCGAUCCGGAAGGCGACCCGGAAGGCGACCCGGAUCCGUCCAAAGUCCCGACGGCGGAUGAACGCGCGACGCGGUCGCUCGAGGAGGCGCCGCCCUCGGGCAUCGCCUGCGAUCCGCUCCCGUGGAAGGCGUGGAUGAACCUGGCGCGGGCGGCAGCCUUAUCCGCGACAGCCUCCUCGGCAGCCGCUCGGAGGAUCCUUUCGCGCUCCGCGUUGGCUCGUCUCCGACGCUCGGCCAUCGCCUCUCUCGGCGUCAGGUUGGACAGAUCCGCGGGAGCGUUCCCCCGCUCCAUCGCCGACGCCGCCCCGUCGCGCCCCC